GGCGAGAUGGCCGAGCGGUCCAAGUCGCUGGUUUAAGGCACCGGUCCCUUCGGGGGCGUGGGUUCGAAUCGCACUCUCGUCA
RNAcentral lists this transfer RNA (82 nucleotides) under Angiostrongylus costaricensis. It matches the Rfam family "tRNA". From Rfam's summary of the family: Transfer RNA (tRNA) molecules are approximately 80 nucleotides in length. Their secondary structure includes four short double-helical elements and three loops (D, anti-codon, and T loops). Further hydrogen bonds mediate the characteristic L-shaped molecular structure. tRNAs have two regions of fundamental functional importance: the anti-codon, which is responsible for specific mRNA codon recognition, and the 3' end, to which the tRNAs corresponding amino acid is attached (by aminoacyl-tRNA synthetases). tRNAs cope with the degeneracy of the genetic code in two manners: having more than one tRNA (with a specific anti-codon) for a particular amino acid; and 'wobble' base-pairing, i.e. permitting non-standard base-pairing at the 3rd anti-codon position. The record is from Rfam by way of RNAcentral. Lineage: Eukaryota; Metazoa; Nematoda; Chromadorea; Rhabditida; Metastrongylidae.